GACAGGGGUCUCAAGCGUUAAUCGGAAUCACUGGGCUUAAAGGGAGCGUAGGCUGGCCAGCAAGUGCUUUGUGAAAGCCCCCGGCUCAACCGGGGAACUGCACGGGAAACUAGCAGGCUUGAGUUCGGGAGAGGGAAGCGGAAUUUCGGGUGUAGCGGUGAAAUGCGCAGAUAUCCGAAGGAACACCGGUGGCGAAGGCGGCUUCCUGGACCGACACUGACGCUGAGGCGCGAAAGCUAGGGGAGCAAACGGG
RNAcentral lists this ribosomal RNA (253 nucleotides) under uncultured bacterium. RNAcentral describes it as "partial 16S ribosomal RNA". It matches the Rfam family "Bacterial small subunit ribosomal RNA", at positions 524 to 776 of the family's 1533-position model. The record is from RNAcentral.